CUCUUAUCGAGAGAGGCGGAGGGACUGGCCCGAUGAAGCCCGGCAACCUGCCCGUAAGGGCAUGAGGUGCCAACACCAGCGACCGACAGGUCGAGUGAUAAGAG
This 104-nucleotide non-coding RNA is filed under the name Dethiosulfovibrio peptidovorans. Its description in RNAcentral is "SAM-I sequence". It matches the Rfam family "SAM riboswitch aptamer (S box leader)". Rfam says of the family: The SAM riboswitch is found upstream of a number of genes which code for proteins involved in methionine or cysteine biosynthesis in Gram-positive bacteria. The SAM riboswitch acts at the level of transcription termination control. The predicted structure consists of a complex stem-loop region followed by a single stem loop terminator region. Lineage: Bacteria; Thermotogati; Synergistota; Synergistia; Synergistales; Dethiosulfovibrionaceae. The record is from RNAcentral. RNAcentral also lists the same sequence under 1 other name.